This 23-nucleotide microRNA is filed under the name Caenorhabditis elegans. RNAcentral's name for it is "cel-miR-1830-5p". The record is from miRBase by way of RNAcentral. Lineage: Eukaryota; Metazoa; Nematoda; Chromadorea; Rhabditida; Rhabditidae.
CGAGGUUUCACGUUUUCUAGGCC